AGGACGAACGCUGGCGGCGUGCCUAAUACAUGCAAGUCGAGCGGACAGAAGGGAGCUUGCUCCCGGAUGUUAGCGGCGGACGGGUGAGUAACACGUGGGUAACCUGCCUGUAAGACUGGGAUAACUCCGGGAAACCGGAGCUAAUACCGGAUAGUUCCUUGAACCGCAUGGUUCAAGGAUGAAAGACGGUUUCGGCUGUCACUUACAGAUGGACCCGCGGCGCAUUAGCUAGUUGGUGAGGUAACGGCUCACCAAGGCGACGAUGCGUAGCCGACCUGAGAGGGUGAUCGGCCACACUGGGACUGAGACACGGCCCAGACUCCUACGGGAGGCAGCAGUAGGGAAUCUUCCGCAAUGGACGAAAGUCUGACGGAGCAACGCCGCGUGAGUGAUGAAGGUUUUCGGAUCGUAAAGCUCUGUUGUUAGGGAAGAACAAGUGCAAGAGUAACUGCUUGCACCUUGACGGUACCUAACCAGAAAGCCACGGCUAACUACGUGCCAGCAGCCGCGGUAAUACGUAGGUGGCAAGCGUUGUCCGGAAUUAUUGGGCGUAAAGGGCUCGCAGGCGGUUUCUUAAGUCUGAUGUGAAAGCCCCCGGCUCAACCGGGGAGGGUCAUUGGAAACUGGGAAACUUGAGUGCAGAAGAGGAGAGUGGAAUUCCACGUGUAGCGGUGAAAUGCGUAGAGAUGUGGAGGAACACCAGUGGCGAAGGCGACUCUCUGGUCUGUAACUGACGCUGAGGAGCGAAAGCGUGGGGAGCGAACAGGAUUAGAUACCCUGGUAGUCCACGCCGUAAACGAUGAGUGCUAAGUGUUAGGGGGUUUCCGCCCCUUAGUGCUGCAGCUAACGCAUUAAGCACUCCGCCUGGGGAGUACGGUCGCAAGACUGAAACUCAAAGGAAUUGACGGGGGCCCGCACAAGCGGUGGAGCAUGUGGUUUAAUUCGAAGCAACGCGAAGAACCUUACCAGGUCUUGACAUCCUCUGACAACCCUAGAGAUAGGGCUUUCCCUUCGGGGACAGAGUGACAGGUGGUGCAUGGUUGUCGUCAGCUCGUGUCGUGAGAUGUUGGGUUAAGUCCCGCAACGAGCGCAACCCUUGAUCUUAGUUGCCAGCAUUCAGUUGGGCACUCUAAGGUGACUGCCGGUGACAAACCGGAGGAAGGUGG
Molecule: ribosomal RNA, 1166 nt
Filed under: Bacillus sp. (in: firmicutes)
Lineage: Bacteria; Bacillati; Bacillota; Bacilli; Caryophanales; Bacillaceae
Description: bacterial SSU rRNA
Rfam family: Bacterial small subunit ribosomal RNA
Source: RNAcentral